UUCUUGGCCCCACCCCCUGAGGCCGCCCAAUCCCCUCCCCCGAAGCCUCCUCGCCCCUCCCUUGGCCCGGCGCGCCCUCCCUCUCCCCAGGCGGGCGUUGCCGCCGCCGCCGCCGCCGCCGCCCGCGCCGCGUUGGCCGGGCCGAGGCCGCCCUAGGUCCGGUCCCUCCCCCGGCGGCCUGGCGCCUCCCGCCCCCUCCCCGCCGCGGUGACUCCGGAGCGGGGGCGGAGGCUGCGCUGAGGCGGAGGCGGCCCGGCUGCUGCUGCUCCUGCUGCUCCCGCCGCCGCCGCCGCCGCCGCCCAGGCGGCCAGCCGCAGCGCCCGGAGCAGGCUGGGCCCGCCGCCCCGCGCUCCGGCCCCGGGGGCUGCCCAGGGCAGCACUUCCUUUUCUCCUAUCCUGUGAUUCUCCUGAUCACGACUCAGCAUCCAUUUGGCCGAAGCUGAUUUCCAAAAGCAGGAAUCUGUGGAGUUGGACUGAGGGGAAUGAACCGUGAGGGAGCUCCCGGGAAGAGUCCGGAGGAGAUGUACAUUCAGCAGAAAGUUCGGGUCUUGCUCAUGCUGAGGAAGAUGGGAUCAAAUCUGACAGCCAGUGAGGAAGAAUUCCUGCGGACGUAUGCAGGGGUAGUGAGCAGCCAGCUGAGCCAGCUCCCAUCACACUCCAUCGACCAGGGUGCAGAGGACGUGGUCAUGGCGUUUUCCAGGUCGGAGACAGAAGACAGGCGGCAAUAGCUACAGCGCAACCUGGAACCCACUGGAAGUCAACGAGGGCCAUGCAAGCUCUGGGAAGCUGGCUGCCUGCACCGGUCCCCUGCCCUUCCCUCCUCCCCACUCUUCAUGCCCCUAACUCCCUCUCCCCUGCCCUGGGAAGCACCUCCCAGCCCACUACCCAGCUGGCUGUGUUAGCGAGGGGGAGACCAGUGGUGCACAUGGGAUUGGCUCAAAGGGAUGGACUUUGUAAUUGGCUACAGGGAGAAAUCUUUUUAUUUUUUAAAACCUGACCAAUGGAAACCUUUUCUUUUUAUUUCUGCCUCUUUCACCACCUCAUCCCUUUUCUUGCUGUCUGGGCAUAGAACUUCCCAGGAAGCUCUCCUAUGCCUUGGUGCUUUAUUUAGGUCAUUUUUAGCAAUGUGAAAAGGUUUUGAUUGGCUGCCUAAAACUGGAAACAACUCUUGAUUGGCUGGUGAAAAGAAAACGCUUCUCUCUUUGAUUGGUUUCAGGUAUUCUGCUGAUCUCAACAGCUUGAUUCUAAGUAAAGAGAAUAGGGGUUGGGGCAUUGGCUGUUACAUUUGACUUGAAAAAAAAAAUACAAAACUAAGUGUGCUUUGCGAUAUUUAUUACACAAAGAGCUGCUGCUGCUUUUAAAUUUUAUUUUUGAAUUCGAUUGGCUUAUGGUCGAUGUGUUUGUUUUCCUGCUGGCUCUAGUGGCCAUAGAUUUACCCCCAAAAAACUACAUCCACAAAACCCUACCACCUCUGCUGCUUGAAAUCUCUGGUCCCAGGGGAAGCCAACUCAAGAAUCUAUUUACAUUAAUAAUUACACCUGCCCUCCCUGGAGCUGGAAAUAUAAAAGGCUCCUGGGCGAGGCCACAGCUGCAAACCAGGACCCAGGACAGACUGGAUAUCAGCUCUGUAAGAGUCAGAGUUAAGCGGUCACCAAGAGCUGAGGUGUGUGAGUGUGUGCCCGUGUGCCCGUGUCAUGUACAUGCACACACUCACACGUGCCACCCGCCACUCUUUGUAGGGUUAUGAUGUUGCUGGAAAAAAUACAGGGCCCCCCUGCCCCUAAAACCUUGUUUGUUCUGCAGCCUGAAAGCUUCUGGCUUGGAGGGAGCUUCUCUGUCCUUGUUUAGAGACUGCUGCUGCUUCUAAGUAGGGAAAAAGAAGCCCCAGGAGGCCCCUAGGCCCUUCCCUCAGGCACUUGGGAGGAGAUGGGGCUCAACUCACAGGUCCUGAGGAUGCCUUUGUGCACCCCCUUUUCUUUCCCCUCCCGUGGGUUUCUACUGCCCCAACCUACACUGACCAUCUUGCAGUCCCGAGUGUCCUCCUCCCACUCACCCCCCACAGUUCUCCCAGCCCCUUUUAAAAGCCUACAUGUUGAAAAGAAAGUCAUCAACCAUAAUUGCCAAACGUUCUGCCAGCUGGGGAGGGCCAGUCUGGCAGGCCCCUACCAAGGCCUUCUCCUAGCUUGGCAGGUAGGGCCGGCCUCAGCUCCCAUUUGUUAAUUCUCCACCUGGGCCCCUGAGCCAGGGGCUGGGGUGGAGGAAGCAGGGAAUCCUUAGUGCCAAAUCCCUGCAGGCAGUGUCAAAACAGAAGCUCCCACCCACCCUUCCCUCCCUCGAGGGGCCCCUGCACCCCCAUCUCUCCUGCCUGCCUUCCCGUGGCAUGCACAGGACUGUACUUUGAAGCAGGUAAACAGGAAACGUUGCCACGUUCAUAUGAAGCUUUUCUUGGGAAAGAGGAAAUCUUAUCUCUGUUCCCAAACAAACCCCAAGUUUUUAAUAAGGGGUCUAGCUCUAACCCUGUGCCCAGGGAGUGGAUGAGACUUUCUGAGCCAAACAGGACUUACUGCCCAAGGGCUUGGGGCCAACCGACAGCCACCAAGGCAUGAGGGGGCAGUUGCAGAGUGCCAACGGUUUAAUGACCUCCAGCAUGUGCAGAAAGGGCCCUCGGAGCAUUCUGCUGCCUGUGACCAAUUAGGAGUGCUAAUGAGGUCGCCUGAUCUGCCGUCCCAAUUCCUUUAAGGUUAGUUAGUCUGUACAAUAUAAACCUUCACAGCCACACCAAACAGCCCCCAGACCCAGCCAGGCUGCCUGGCCAUGUUGCCAAUGGCUGGUGGACAAAGGACCCAGCAGGGAGGAGAUGGUGGGGGUGUCCCAUAAGGCUGGGCACCCCUCCCUUUGGUGGAUACCUUGGUAGUGGGUCCGUAGCAAUGUCUUCCCUACAAAGGACCAGCCCCCAACUCCAGUGUCAUCAGCCGGAGUCCCAAUCGUUGGGCAAAAGGUGAACAACAGCCCCUGACACCCCGGGGUCCCCGUCCUGGCUUCUGUCACGGUGUUGCCCGCUGUGCUCCUGGCCAGCCUGCAGCGCCCAUCGAGGGUCCGAGCCCAGGUGGCGUAGCCAUGUGUUUGUCUGCGGCCCCAGGCCUGUCAAGCUAACAUGCAUCUCUCUUGUGUCCCCGAUGAUAACUCUGACCUGUCUAUCUUCUGAAGAAGAAAAGUGAAAGUGUUUCUGUGGUUUAAUCUUUUAACUAAAAAUGUAACUCUUGGGGAAAAAAUAACAAUAAAGGUUUUUAAUAGCUUGUCAUGGAUUGGACUGAGCCGGUUUCUUUCAGGGAGCUAGUUAUGCACAUUUCUUAA
This is a long non-coding RNA of Sarcophilus harrisii (Tasmanian devil), 3354 nucleotides long. NCBI's taxonomy places the organism in Eukaryota, Metazoa, Chordata, Mammalia, Dasyuromorphia, Dasyuridae. The record is from Ensembl.